This 352-nucleotide ribosomal RNA is filed under the name Salmonella enterica subsp. enterica serovar Bovismorbificans. Its description in RNAcentral is "bacterial SSU rRNA". It matches the Rfam family "Bacterial small subunit ribosomal RNA", at positions 110 to 465 of the family's 1533-position model. Lineage: Bacteria; Pseudomonadati; Pseudomonadota; Gammaproteobacteria; Enterobacterales; Enterobacteriaceae. The record is from RNAcentral.
GUAAUGUCUGGGAAACUGCCUGAUGGAGGGGGAUAACUACUGGAAACGGUGGCUAAUACCGCAUAACGUCGCAAGACCAAAGAGGGGGACCUUCGGGCCUCUUGCCAUCAGAUGUGCCCAGAUGGGAUUAGCUAGUUGGUGAGGUAACGGCUCACCAAGGCGACGAUCCCUAGCUGGUCUGAGAGGAUGACCAGCCACACUGGAACUGAGACACGGUCCAGACUCCUACGGGAGGCAGCAGUGGGGAAUAUUGCACAAUGGGCGCAAGCCUGAUGCAGCCAUGCCGCGUGUAUGAAGAAGGCCUUCGGGUUGUAAAGUACUUUCAGCGGGGAGGAAGGUGUUGUGGUUAAUA